Periophthalmus magnuspinnatus is the source of this 235-nucleotide long non-coding RNA. RefSeq lists it as uncharacterized. The transcript is spliced from 3 exons. Lineage: Eukaryota; Metazoa; Chordata; Actinopteri; Gobiiformes; Gobiidae. The record is from RefSeq and is a predicted model, not a curated record.
GAGACCACAGAACCAGCAUCCUCCUCAGAGACAAGAACAUGCAGCUUCUGCUCCUCUUGAAAAACCUGAAGACCACUGAGCUCUGCAGACACUGACAGGAAGGAGCGGCCAUUUUAUGUUUAUGUCGUCCUGUCAUCAGAGACCACAGAACCAGCAUCCUCCUCAGAGACAAGAACAUGCAGCUUCUGCUCCUCUUGCUGUGGACUUUCCUGCUGAUGGACUCCUUUCUCCAAGG